Non-coding RNA from Pelobates cultripes (western spadefoot toad), 338 nucleotides. The record is from the annotation of a GenBank genome assembly. NCBI's taxonomy places the organism in Eukaryota, Metazoa, Chordata, Amphibia, Anura, Pelobatidae.
AAGAGGUGCAGGGUGUGUGUGAGGGGUAACUGGGUGAGUGUGUGUGUGUGUGUGUGUGUGAGGUUUCAUGUCUCUGUGUGAGAGGUGCAGUGUGUGUGUGAGGUUCCAUGUCUCUGUUUGAGUGGAGUAGGUGUGUGUGAGGGGUGCAGGGUGUGUAUGUGAGAGGUUCGACCUGUAAGGGGAAGCAGGGUGUGACGAGGGGUGCAGGGUGUGAGAGAGUCCAUGUCUGUGUAUGAGGGGUACAUUGUGUAUGACGAGUAACGGGGUGUGUGUGAGGUUCCAUGUCUCUGUGUGAGAGGUUCAGGGUGUGUGAGGUUCCAUGUCCCUGUGUGAGAGGU